UAUUGAAAUGAAUUACGCAGUGUGUCUGAUGAUCGUAAGCACGGCAAGUCAAAACUCCUAACGUAUGCAUAGUUAUACACUGUCAGUAAGUUUUGAGCAAAGUCUGGGUAGUUGGCCCUUCGUCAUCGAUCGUCGUUUGAUCAAUAUCAAUCCAGUAGUUACAGUUCCUCUCGUAACGGUUGAACCACCUAGCCAAUCCAUCAUCCAUGGUACUGCAAAAAGGGCAGUACUACUCUAAUUGACUAUUUCACUACAAAUUCAAAAAAAAAAGGGGAGAAAACGUCACUUUGAAAAAUGCACCCGUUUCAAUAAAAAUGUCUUCCUACCUGCCGUGUCUGCCAUUUACUGUGCAGCCAAUCAUAAGCAAUCAAUGCCACGUCUAAUAUUAAAAAUACUACAAUAAUAGUUAGGUAAUUCAGGGCCGUCGGAUUGGCAGCUUGGGCUGCAGUGGGAGUAACUCGGUCGGACACAGCUCACACACCAGACAUGGGGGAUGAAGGUGUUGGAUAAGGUGCCAAUUUCUGUCACCAAGACAACGAGGUUACGACCGUCAACAGCUAUCACUUCGGUCACAACAUCGGACACGCGGAUGGAAACGUUUCGGCGAACGUUGCCAACAUCGAUUACGAGCAGCUGCACUCACGAUGAUAAUGAUUACGUUGAUCUGCGAUAAUUUGAAAGCAGUUUCAUUAAAUUCAGUCAAUUUGUUAUGCACUAUAUUUUCUGUCAAUUUCUUUCCUGUUCAUAAAAUUUUUUUUUUUCUUUCCUUUGUGAGUAACAAAUCAUGGCCGAACAGCACACAUUCAGUAACAACAGUGAGCUCUAUGAUUUGAAGAAAAUAUAAAAACGAAAACACGUAAGAUGUGAGCUAUACUGGAGCCGUGCCGUUCUGUUUGCUACUGCCGGGCAAGUUUGUUUUACAGCGGGGAGGGAGACACACUGAAUGAAAAUACACACAUGGCACAAUAA
Long non-coding RNA from Daphnia magna, 969 nucleotides. RefSeq lists it as uncharacterized. The transcript has 2 exons. Lineage: Eukaryota; Metazoa; Arthropoda; Branchiopoda; Diplostraca; Daphniidae. The record is from RefSeq and is a predicted model, not a curated record.